AGAGCGAACGCUGGCGGCAGGCCUAACACAUGCAAGUCGAGCGCCCGUAGCAAUACGGGAGCGGCAGACGGGGUAGUAACACGUGGGAACGCGCCCUUCGGUUCGGAAUAACUCAGGGAAACUUGAGCUAAUACCGAAUACGCCCUUACGGGGAAAGAUUUAUUGCCGAAGGAACGGCCCGCGUCCGAUUAGCUAGUUGGUGAGGUAAUGGCUCACCAAGGCUACGAUCGGUAGCUGGUCUGAGAGGAUGACCAGCAUCACUGGGACUGAGACACGGCCCAGACUCCUACGGGAGGCAGCAGUGGGGAAUAUUGGACAAUGGGCGCAAGCCUGAUCCAGCCAUGCCGCGUGGAUGAUGAAGGCCUUAGGGUUGUAAAGUCCUUUUAACGGGGAAGAUAAUGACGGUACCCGUAGAAUAAGCCCGGCUAACUUCGCGCCAGCAGCCGC
This 447-nucleotide ribosomal RNA is filed under the name uncultured bacterium. RNAcentral's name for it is "SSU rRNA". It matches the Rfam family "Bacterial small subunit ribosomal RNA", at positions 26 to 518 of the family's 1533-position model. The record is from RNAcentral.